GCAUUGUUGCUUCGUAUAACCCCACUGAUAGGGUGUGGGGGUCUCUACCAGAAUCCGUAAAAUUCUGAUUACGAAGAGUUA
RNAcentral lists this non-coding RNA (81 nucleotides) under Vibrio fluvialis. Its description in RNAcentral is "Purine riboswitch". The stretch from base 10 to 76 matches the Rfam family "Purine riboswitch aptamer", at positions 19 to 87 of the family's 102-position model. From Rfam's summary of the family: Riboswitches are metabolite binding domains within certain messenger RNAs that serve as precision sensors for their corresponding targets. The record is from RNAcentral. Lineage: Bacteria; Pseudomonadati; Pseudomonadota; Gammaproteobacteria; Vibrionales; Vibrionaceae.